AGACUAACAGGAUUCCCCUAGUAACUGCGAGUGAAGCGGGAAAAGCUCAAAUUUAAAAUCUGGCGGUCUUUGGCCGUCCGAGUUGUAAUCUAGAGAAGUAAUGCCCGUGCUGGACCGUGUAUAAGUCUCCUGGGAUGGGGCGUCAUAGAGGGUGAGAAUCCCGUCUUUGACACGGACUACCAGUGCAUUGUGGUAUGCUCUCAAAGAGUCGAGUUGUUUGGGAAUGCAGCUCAAAAUGGGUGGUAAAUUCCAUCUAAAGCUAAAUAUUGGCGAGAGACCGAUAGCGAACAAGUACCGUGAGGGAAAGAUGAAAAGAACUUUGGAAAGAGAGUUAAACAGUACGUGAAAUUGCUGAAAGGGAAACGCUUGAAGUCAGUCGCGUUGGCCAGGGAUCAGCCUUGCUUUUGCAUGGUGUACUUUCUGGUUGACGGGUCAGCAUCAAUUUUGACCGCUGGAAAAGGGCCUGGGGAAUGUGGCAGCUUCGGCUGUGUUAUAGCCCCUGGUCGCAUACAGUGGUUGGGAUUGAGGAACUCAGCACGCCGCAAGGCCGGGUUUCGACCACGUUCGUGCUUAGGAUGCUGGCAUAAUGGCUUUAAGCGACCCGUCUUGAAACACGGACCAAGGAGUCUAACAUGCCUGCGAGUAUUUGGGUGGAAAACCCGAGUGCGCAAUGAAAGUGAAAGUUGAGAUCCCUGUCGUGGGGAGCAUCGACGCCCGGACCAGAACUUUUGGGACGGAUCCGCGGUGGAGCAUGUAUGUUGGGACCCGAAAGAUGGUGAACUAUGCCUGAAUAGGGUGAAGCCAGAGGAAACUCUGGUGGAGGCUCGUAGCGAUUCUGACGUGCAAAUCGAUCGUCAAAUUUGGGUAUAGGGGCGAAAGACUAAUCGAAUCAUCUAGUAGCUGGUUCCUGCCGAA
Molecule: ribosomal RNA, 915 nt
Filed under: Agaricus sp.
Lineage: Eukaryota; Fungi; Basidiomycota; Agaricomycetes; Agaricales; Agaricaceae
Description: LSU rRNA
Rfam family: Eukaryotic large subunit ribosomal RNA
Source: RNAcentral